UAGCCUUUCGGUUAGGUUCCUUCAAAUCCUUAUGCAUCAAGGGAAAACUACUCCCCCCGGGGCUCAGUAGCACCCAUCCAAAAGGCAUUCUGAGCAGCCCACGUUGUUUGAAAUACUUUUACUGCCAUGAACUGAAACACAUCUUAGAAGAUUCCCCUUCAGAUGGACCUCAAUUCGGGACCUCUCAGUUUCUUUGAAGAUAUUCCUGCCUCUUGUUUUACGACGCACUCUGCUUGGAGAGGCCAAUUCCUUAGUCACUGCAAAGGCAGAACUGAGUUGUCCAAUAAUCACAACUGAGCAGUAUCAGCGACGACGGUUCACGCAUCGAGAGCCAAGGAAAACCACUCGAGAGCCUUUGCCUUCUUGGUCUGUUGACUAACGGUGUUGUUUCUGACACUGUGACCUCUUCAAGCAGCCGUUCUCCCUGAAAAGCCAAUAGUCUCAAACAGGCUUAUUUUCCCAGGACAUUUUCUUUGACUGCUACAGCCAAACCAGAUUUAAUUUACUCCCCACCGACAAACCGGCUCUCCUUGCUUGGAGAAUGAGUGAACCACCUAGAAACUCAUUUUCAUUGAAGCCUCAUUUUGCAGUUUUGGUCUUCGUUUAAAAAUAAAUCACAACGCUAUGUUGA
This is a long non-coding RNA of Neogale vison (American mink), 631 nucleotides long. RefSeq lists it as uncharacterized. Lineage: Eukaryota; Metazoa; Chordata; Mammalia; Carnivora; Mustelidae. The record is from RefSeq and is a predicted model, not a curated record. The transcript is spliced from 2 exons.